UGUGAUCAUUAAAUGUUGAUUUAAUAUUCAAUGGGUCAUAUUAUUUGUGAGGAAAUGCUGCAGAAUGAGUUACCCACCAAAACAAAAGCAUUAGAAAAAUAAAACCUUUUUCUGACUGAAAUAAUCCCAAACAUUCAUCCCGUCGUUUCCAACCUGCUGCUAUAAAAGUCCAUUUAGAAACGAGGCGUUCCCUUCUGAUUAUUGAAUACUAGCUGACAGAAGACACCAAACCCGCACCAGUGGAUGGCGGUCCUCGUGCACACGCUUCCUGUGUGCAGACUAUCGAUUAGUGCAGCAUGCAGACACUUGGACAGACUAUUUAACUCUGACUCUGCUUGAAUAAUCCCAAAAACAUUAAGUCAGCGACGAGUUGUUGGAUGACGCAAAGUGACUCUGAGGUCCCGUGAAAAUAAAAUGUUUAAGUUUCAGGCCACAAUCUCAGACAAUUAAAUGUUAAUAAAACAGCUGUAUCUGUUGCUGGAGGAGGGAACGUAUUGACAAAAUAAAAUAUUUCCUACCGAUGCAGCUUCACAAUAAAAGCAUUUAGACAACUUUCAAUGCGGCUGUGAUAAUAGGGAAGGUCGAGUUUAAAAUGGUAACACUGCAAGAAAAUCAAGCCCAGAAAAAACAAUGUGAUGUAGAACAUGAAUAUUCAAUUCAUCAAAAUACCGCUGGGUACAUGUUGCAGAACGUCUUUCUUUCCGACGCGUUUCAAUUUGAAUGCCUAUUAAGAGGAAUAUUUAUUUCUUAUGGCUGCCAGUUCUUAGUUCAACUCAAACGUUCAUACGAACAGUUGAGUUUUAGAUCAGACCUGAAUAAGCUCUUUAGUAUGUUAUGAACAUGAGUUUCCUGUGUAUACAAAAUAAUUUGAUUAUUAACAAUGACCACAAUAAUAAUAAUAAUGUGAUCUAUCAAGUAAAACAUCUCUUCGGAAAUGAGAAAUUUGGCUUCUUUUUUGGGGGGGAACUAAAUAUCUGAAAAGAGUCAAACUGUGAAACUACGGCGGUACAUUUUAUAGAACAAUGAAUUGAUUAAUCAAAAAGAACCAUUUUCCCGCCUCUAUAAAUAUUUAAUCUGUGGAGGAACGACGUCACUGAACUAAAAUGUAACAAAUUAGAGACAUAAGUCAAUACUGCUGCAGACGUCUGGUCUCAGCUUUGAAUUCAAAUGGAUCGGGUGCAAUAAUACGAUCAAUAUACUGAUUAGAGAUUAUACUACUUAACGAUUAUCAGUGCGAGAGCAGGUAGGGGAGCAUUUUAUAAGUUAAUGGCAGAGAUUCAUGCAAAAAUGGAUCAGAUUCCAACACCUCAAACCGUCACCUCACACAAGCUUGAAAUCUUUGGUUUUAAAAAGAAAACUAGAAGCUCAAGAGAGUCGCUGAAGGCUCCUCAGUCCGGUUCCAUCCAGUUAUUCUGUGAAGACCUCCGAGUCACAGAAUGAAGCCGCUGCAAUGGUCAAUACGAAUACAAUUAUUUAGCUGCGUUUUUAGGCGGAGCAGAAAUCAUUAUAAUGAAUUAGUGGGUUGAGACGGGUCUGAUGUUGGGUUAUUUAAACCCUGAACAUCUGCAGGUAUUCUUCUGUUGAGGUAAAGAGAUUAGAGCUUGUAAACAUCGAGUCACCAUUGCUAAAAAGAAAAUUUUCAAAUUUCAAUAAAUUCAAAUUAGUGAAAUAAAUUAUAAAACAAAGAUGGUUUCAUUUUUAGAUUUUGAACUUUGAGUGUUUUAAUAAAAACAGCUGCUUGUUUCUGUGUCUGUGAUUUAAACUGAAACUGUAAACUGUCUGAUCAUAAACAAGUCUCUCCUCUAAAUAAAUAAAACGAGGCAACGCUGUCCAAUCAGAACACAGAAACCCGUCACAUCACCAGCCAGUAUUUCACCAACGCAGUCGGUCAUGAAGCGUGUCAGUCCAGAGAGACGAAGCUGCAAAAUCGAACAGAGAAGAGAAGUCAAUCAGUAAAGAGUCAGCAGCUCUCAGUCUGUCCACAUGCUGUGUCUCCGUAGUGUCUCAAUGCUCAACAACGGGCGCUUUUCAUUUCGUCUGUAUCACCAAUGUUGACCUACAAGGUCACCUUUAGGCAGCGGAUCGCCCCCCCGUGCUUCCGGGAAGUAGAGAGCGGAUCGACCCCCCGUGCUUCCGGGAAGUAGAGAGCGGAUCGCCCCCCCCGUGCUUCCGGGAAGUAGAGAGCGGAUCGCCCCCCCGUGCUUCCGGAAAGUAGAGAGCGGAUCGCCCCCCCGUGCUUCCGGGAAGUAGAGAGCGGAUCGACCGCCGUGCUUCCAGGAAGUAGAGAGCGGAUCGCCCCCC
Long non-coding RNA from Gasterosteus aculeatus aculeatus (three-spined stickleback), 2301 nucleotides. Lineage: Eukaryota; Metazoa; Chordata; Actinopteri; Perciformes; Gasterosteidae. The record is from Ensembl.